ACGAACGCUGGCGGCGCGCCUAACACAUGCAAGUCGAACGAGCGAGAGGAGGUUUACUUUCUCAAGCGAGUGGCGAACGGGUGAGUAACGCGUGAGGAACCUGCCUCAAAGAGGGGGACAACAGUUGGAAACGACUGCUAAUACCGCAUAAGCCCACGACCCGGCAUCGGGUAGAGGGAAAAGGAGCAAUCCGCUUUGAGAUGGCCUCGCGUCCGAUUAGCUAGUUGGUGAGGUAAUGGCCCACCAAGGCGACGAUCGGUAGCCGGACUGAGAGGUUGAACGGCCACAUUGGGACUGAGACACGGCCCAGACUCCUACGGGAGGCAGCAGUGGGGAAUAUUGCACAAUGGGGGAAACCCUGAUGCAGCGACGCCGCGUGGAGGAAGAAGGUCUUCGGAUUGUAAACUCCUGUUGUUGAGGAAGAUAAUGACGGUACUCAACAAGGAAGAGACGGCUAACUACGUG
This 465-nucleotide ribosomal RNA is filed under the name uncultured bacterium. RNAcentral describes it as "partial 16S ribosomal RNA". It matches the Rfam family "Bacterial small subunit ribosomal RNA", at positions 29 to 507 of the family's 1533-position model. The record is from RNAcentral.